Molecule: unclassified non-coding RNA, 329 nt
Filed under: soil metagenome
Description: partial contains 5.8S ribosomal RNA, internal transcribed spacer 2, and large subunit ribosomal RNA
Rfam family: 5.8S ribosomal RNA (bases 1-120)
Source: RNAcentral
GAUGAAGAACGCAGCGAAACGCGAUAGGUAAUGUGAAUUGCAGAAUUCCGUGAAUCAUCGAAUCUUUGAACGCACAUUGCGCCCCCUGGUAUUCCGGGGGGCAUGCCUGUCCGAGCGUCAUUACAACCCUCAAGCUCAGCUUGGUGUUGGGCCCCGCCGCCCCGGCGGGCCCUAAAGUCAGUGGCGGUGCCGUCCGGCUCCGAGCGUAGUAAUUCUUCUCGCUCUGGAGGUCCGGUCGUGUGCUCGCCAGCAACCCCCAAUUUUUUUCAGGUUGACCUCGGAUCAGGUAGGGAUACCCGCUGAACUUAAGCAUAUCAAUAAGCGGAGGA